AUGGAACUCUCAGGGGUGAUCCAUGACAGAAGAUUCUGUCCCCAUGCCUGGGUGCUGCCUAAGACCCCAGAUCCUUGAUUAUAUAGCCUGGGUUGUGCCAAGGGAGGCCCUGACAAAAUGAGGUGGAAGGUCCUGUAGUUCUGUGAAGUUCCAAAUGGGAAAUGGGGUUGGUUAUUGAAAGUGGAGAGGCAUAACCUUUCUUGCGCCCCUGACUUUUGAGACAGGGUGUUGCCUCCACUCUAUAUUUAGCGUUGGUGGGCCGAGAACCCAGAGAAAGAGGAAAUGGUUGGUGAGCACGAGUACAGUGUUCCCGGCUGACCAAGGGGGCGGCCUUGAGCCUGUCCUUGGUUCCCAGGUGUCCUUGAGGAGGUCUAGAGCACUUGAAUUCCCCCGCACUUCUGUAUUCACAGUUAAAGAAGUAAUCCAUGCCUAAUGAUGCCAUAAACACCAUCACACCUUCUUUUGUGUAAAUAAUGUCUGAUAAAAUGAGGUGUGAGCCUGCUGUUGCAAAGAACACUUAGCUGUUAAAUGCUUUCCUUUCCACUCCAUUGACUUUCCCUAUUUAUAGCUAUUCCAGCCCAGCGGUUCCUGUCAUAUUCAUUUCCUGCCAGCUGCUGGUUUCCUUAUCUUAGGGAAACACAGAGGUGCCUCCCUAGCACCACCCAGUUGCCAUAGCACUAGCCUCUGCUUGGGUCAGGAGUCGACAGAGAAAAUGCAGUGUGUGGUCUUGUCUGGCUUCCUCUCUGGACUUGGCCCAGAAGCUUUUUUUUAUCAGCUGAGACAGUAACAGUUCCUUGACCUGGGUUUAUCUGCUGGUGUAGAACCUUGUAGAGAGCUGCCUGAAGAAAUGUCUUCCUGGUGGUGAAAGACCAUCCUCCUAGUGACAUGGUGACAUAUGGCUCUGUCCUUGGCCUCGGACACUGUGGCCCUGGCUGACCUGGGACCUGAGACGGGCAGCAGAAAGUCAGUCCUUGCCUCUAUGACUCUGAAGUUCCUCUUAUCAAGGGGCACUUCACUCUGGAAACGGGGCUGGCCUUUCUGCUCCGGAAGUGAUGAUGUAUCAGCUCUGAGCCCAGGCCUCAGGGGCUCUUGGAAGCUUUCCUCCGCCCCCUGGAACCCUGCCAUGGCCAUGUGAAGUAGCCCAGGCUGGCCUGCUGGACAAUGAGAAACCCCAUGGAGUAGAGCUGAAGACCCCAGUGACUGCAGAUAACACAAGAGCAGCCGGUGAUGGCCCAGAACAGCGCAGCCAGCCCAGGGACUCAUAAGCGACAAUACAGGUGUAUGAAACUCCAUGGCGACAAAGGGUUAGCAGGGAUUGGCUUUCUGAUCAUGCCAGAGGCAAGGAGAGCGGUGGACAGUGAUGCUGGGAAACCAGCUGCUCAAGAGUCAUCCAGGCCUCCGGUAUCUACAGCCGCAUGCAUGGUUGAGUCAACUAUACUUCUAUAGGGUCCAAGGUCUGCCCAAGCUCUACAAUUCUGGAUUCUUGUCCAGGCUAUGCUGUAGAAUGGCCCAGCUCUGCAAGUCACUUCUGGAAGGCACUCAGGAUGCCGAGCAGGAUGAGCUAGCGGACACUCUUAAACCUGUUAGUCCCACCUGUUCCUGUUGCCAGGCCUCUGCUGUUCUUUCUGCCUGGAGCACUUUCCCCUGGCUCUCUCCAUGGCUCAGUCCUUCUCAUCCUCAGGUCUCUGUUCCAAUGCCACCACUCUCAAAUGUCACUCUCUGUACUGCCUGGUUUAUUUCCCUCAAAGCUCUAAGCACAAUCUGUAAUGAUCUUGCAUAUCUGUUUAUCUAUUGCCUUUCCCCCCAGUUAGUCCACAAACCUCAUCAGGAAGGAUGGUAUGUCCUUGCUGACUGAGGUAUCUUCAGUCCUUGUCACCGUGCCAUUCUAUCACAGGCAGCCAAAAAAGAAUGACUCAUGUUUUUCAAAUGAAUAAUAUGGGAAUAAAUACAGAAGACCCAGGUUCCUGGAGGAAAUGCAGCAGCCUGAGCUCUUUAGAAAGGGUUUCCUGAGGUGCAGUCAUGUAUCACCUGUGGUGUGCAAGUGGACCAUGGGUGGAACUUACACUUUUUUACAGUUAUCUGUUUAUUUUAACCUAUUUUAGAAAGUUGGAACUAAGAAAUCAUCUUUAUUUAACAGAUUUUAUUGCUUAGGAUGAAGCUUAAAUACGUACUGAGCAUAGAAAAUGUGAAUUGAUCUAAAGACAACUGCUUAGUAAGUAAUAGCACAAAUAGUACAUGAGUAUGGAAAAAAGGUGAUUCUUUAGUGACUGAAGUUUGGGAGCCUCUGGCUCAAAACAAUGUUGGUAUAGCCAAAGGGAAUCCAGUCCAUAAUGUAGGCAUAUACUUAUUCAAUGAAUAAUUAUUAAGCACAUACUGUUUUCCAGCCAUUGUGCUAGGCACUAAGGUCAUGGCUCUAAAUAGAUAUAGCACUUGCCCUCCUGGAACCUCUGAUCUAGUGAAGGACAAAUAAAUACAUCAUUACAGGGUGGGGUGAAGGGAAAGGAGAACAAGUGUAAUGAGGGAAUUGAGGGGGCACCUGAGCAGAAGAUCAAGAGGUGAGCACAGGCUUGCAUGCGAAGACAACAGGAUGACAUGGGAAGACAACAGGAUAAGAAAAAACUGGGUAUGGAUGAGGCAGGCUGGUACUGCAGAGACUAAGAAUGCAUCUGUAAGUUACACUGACAGCAGGAAAGAGUAGAAUUAGGGAUGUAGAAAUUAAAAAUCAGAAAAAACUUGAGCCGGGUCUUGGGCUUCUCAAGUAAACGUCCAUGAGAUUGAGCUGAUGAGUAAGAAGGUACCUGGAAGCCAGAGGCAGUGUUCAGUUGGUGAUGCUACUGAAGAAGGGACCCGAAACAAAGUGGACAGAGCUAUAGGCCAAGCUCUCAUUAAAGAGACAUUUCCAGAGAUGAAAGAUGGCUAUGUGGGCAGAUCAAAGGCUAGCUUAGUCCUUACAAAAUAAAGCCCACAUCAGGAAUCCUCCCAUCCAUCCACCCAUCAUCUAUCUAUACAAACAUGAAUCAUUUAAAAUUUUGCAGAAAAUGCAAAAGUUCCAUAUUAUAGAUACCCAGAAUGAAUAAAGCAGCCUUUUCUACCAAUUCAAGCCAAACAAGGACUUUGUAGCAGCAUGAAGUGCUAGAAAACCACAGGUCGUCAUCCAGAAUUUUGCAGGAAAAAAUUUGGGACUCCCAAUACUUAGUAUUUAGCCAAUCUGUGUGAAGCAUUAAAAGACGUGCAACAGACUGAAAGGGAAUCCACCUCCCUCUUUAAAAAGUUCCUUGGAAAUGAUAGCAAGGACCUAAGAGAUGGUGUGAAAGAACUCAGGGAGGGAGAAAUUGUGCCAAAAAGGACAGUGACUGGGAUUGGACAAAGGGCUGAGUCCAGAUAACUAAUAAAUUAGCUUCAAACAUCAACAUUUUUCUUUAUGAAGAUAUAACAAUUAAUAAUGUAUACUUCAAUAAAGUUUUAAAAAAUGAAUAAUUUGAUAAAUUAAACCCCAAAUCCCAGACUAAAUUAACAAAGACAGAGGAGUUGGUAAUACAGAGGAAGAAGGGGAGGGAAGAAGUAUAGUAAAUGCACAGAAAAUUCUUUCCCACAAGGAACUGCCUACUCAUUUACGCUACUAGAGAAAAGCAAAAUGAAGAAUUAAAAACAGGACAGAUAGCUUUCAAAAUGCAGAAAAUAAAAAAGCAAGAAAAUGCAGCUCCUACAACAAAAGGGAUGGGAAAGAAAAAGCAGGGAGAAAAUCACCAAAAUUGUAGAGCAAGGUGACAGAAGCAUGGAAGUAGGACUGAUUGUGUUACUAUUGAAAAUCACUGGAAAUAGGCUAGACAUUGUAAUUUUUAAAAAUGACUACAAUAAAGAUUUCUCAUUCUCAAAUAAGACCUAGUCCUAUUUGCGUUUGCAAGCCUACCCCAGAACACAGGGACAGAAACAUUUUAUAUGAA
Manis javanica (Malayan pangolin) is the source of this 3944-nucleotide long non-coding RNA. RefSeq lists it as uncharacterized. NCBI's taxonomy places the organism in Eukaryota, Metazoa, Chordata, Mammalia, Pholidota, Manidae. The record is from RefSeq and is a predicted model, not a curated record.